UUAAAUUGAAGAGUUUGAUCAUGGCUCAGAUUGAACGCUGGCGGCAGGCCUAACACAUGCAAGUCGAACGGUAACAGGAAGCAGCUUGCUGCUUUGCUGACGAGUGGCGGACGGGUGAGUAAUGUCUGGGAAACUGCCCGAUGGAGGGGGAUAACUACUGGAAACGGUAGCUAAUACCGCAUAACGUCGCAAGACCAAAGAGGGG
This 205-nucleotide ribosomal RNA is filed under the name Escherichia coli. Its description in RNAcentral is "partial 16S ribosomal RNA". It matches the Rfam family "Bacterial small subunit ribosomal RNA", at positions 1 to 211 of the family's 1533-position model. Lineage: Bacteria; Pseudomonadati; Pseudomonadota; Gammaproteobacteria; Enterobacterales; Enterobacteriaceae. The record is from RNAcentral.